This 368-nucleotide transfer-messenger RNA is filed under the name Mycobacterium tuberculosis. RNAcentral describes it as "Standard tmRNA". It matches the Rfam family "transfer-messenger RNA". From Rfam's summary of the family: Bacterial tmRNA, also known as 10Sa RNA or SsrA, is named for its dual tRNA and mRNA-like properties. Its role is to liberate the mRNA from a stalled ribosome. To accomplish this part of the tmRNA is used as a reading frame that ends in a translation stop signal. The record is from RNAcentral. Lineage: Bacteria; Bacillati; Actinomycetota; Actinomycetes; Mycobacteriales; Mycobacteriaceae.
GGGGCUGAACGGUUUCGACUUCGCGCAUCGAAUCAAGGGAAGCGUGCCGGUGCAGGCAAGAGACCACCGUAAGCGUCGUUGCGACCAAAUAAGCGCCGAUUCACAUCAGCGCGACUACGCUCUCGCUGCCUAAGCGACGGCUAGUCUGUCAGACCGGGAACGCCCUCGGCCCGGAACCUGGCAUCAGCUAGAGGGAUCCACCGAUGAGUCCGGUCGCGGGACUCCUCGGGACAACCACAGCGACUGGGAUCGUCAUCUCGGCUAGUUCGCGUGACCGGGAGAUCCGAGCAGAGGCAUAGCGAACUGCGCACGGAGAAGCCUUGAGGGAAUGCCGUAGGACCCGGGUUCGAUUCCCGGCAGCUCCACCG